UACGUAGGGCGCAAGCGUUGUCCGGAAUUAUUGGGCGUAAAGAGCUCGUAGGCGGCUUGUCACGUCGGGUGUGAAAGCCCGGGGCUUAACCCCGGGUCUGCAUUCGAUACGGGCUAGCUAGAGUGUGGUAGGGGAGAUCGGAAUUCCUGGUGUAGCGGUGAAAUGCGCAGAUAUCUGGAGGAACACCGGUGGCGAAGGCGGCAUCCUGGACCGGCAUUGACGCUGAGGAGCGAAAGCCAGGGGAGCAAACGGG
This 253-nucleotide ribosomal RNA is filed under the name uncultured bacterium. Its description in RNAcentral is "partial 16S ribosomal RNA". It matches the Rfam family "Bacterial small subunit ribosomal RNA", at positions 524 to 776 of the family's 1533-position model. The record is from RNAcentral.